UUUUACCAUUGCUUGCCACAAUUUUAAUAAUCAUCUGGACUUUAUCUUGUAGUUGGAGGCUGCUUACAUGCGAAAAUGACCAUAAAAGAAACAAAGGCUUUUGAGGUUACUCUGUCCGUAGUUGAAGUACUUUCACCCUCAAAUGCUUUCGUCACAUGUAUUUGAGAUUACAAACGGAAGAUAAUCUCAGAUAGAUUUAGAACAGAUUUGUAUCAGCGUUAGAAGAUUAGAUUAAUUUUUUAACACUCAAGUUUUUGUAACUAUAACUACAGUCAUGAUAAAUAGAAUAUACUUAUGUGUAUGUUGCUAACUUGCUAUAAUACAUGACAGAUAGUAUUUGUACACAACUUCUUUACUAGAAUACUUUAGCUAAACAAGAAAAUCAUGUUGGGCCUGUGCACCGCACUGGCUUACCCUGCUAGUUAAUAGAAAAGAAAUUCUUAUGUUCCAUUGGUACAUCAAACAAGAACAAGAAACACAUAACGGAAUCUUCUAAUUCAUCCAUAGAUGUUCAGAAAAUGAUAUUUUGGAGGAUUAAAAACAAUAUAUGUUACAAGACUACAUGAAUUAUACAAAGAACAAUUAAUUACAGACAUGCAGAGGAGAAAAUUAAUUAACCUUUGGCUAGUUGAGAUUUCCAUUACUGUUUGGUCUCAGCCACUCAAUAUCAUGUUUUUUUUUUUUCUUUCUUACUUUCGCUUAAAUUUAUUUUUGGUUUAAUACAUUUAUAGCCC
Molecule: long non-coding RNA, 734 nt
Organism: Lycium ferocissimum
Lineage: Eukaryota; Viridiplantae; Streptophyta; Magnoliopsida; Solanales; Solanaceae
Exons: 2
Source: RefSeq, a predicted model, not a curated record